RNAcentral lists this ribosomal RNA (253 nucleotides) under uncultured bacterium. RNAcentral's name for it is "partial 16S ribosomal RNA". It matches the Rfam family "Bacterial small subunit ribosomal RNA", at positions 524 to 776 of the family's 1533-position model. The record is from RNAcentral.
UACGGAGGGGGCGAGCGUUAUUCGGAAUUAUUGGGCGUAAAGGGCGCGUAGGCGGCUUGACAAGUCAAAGGUGAAAUCCCUCGGCUCAACUGAGGAACUGCCUUUGAAACUGUCAGGCUUGAGGCCGGGAGGGGGUAGCGGAAUUCCCAAUGUAGCGGUGAAAUGCGUAGAUAUCGGGAGGAACACCAGUGGCGAAGGCGGCUACCUGGACCGGUACUGACGCUGAGGCGCGAAAGCGUGGGGAGCAAACAGG